CAAUGUAUCAAGCAUUAUUGAUUAAAAUUUUGCAUAGAGCAAAUCAUGCAUUUCAAAGUUUAAUAGUACCAAGAACACCAAAACAUCCAUUGGUUUUAGUGUUCUAGGGUCACUUCCUUCAAAUUUCCUAUUUUUAUAUAUUCUAAAUAUAUUUGAGACCUAGACGAGUUGCUAAAGUCCAACUCAGGAGGGGCGAGCAGUUUCAGCGGAUACUACCGAUUUUUAAUACCUCGUCUAUAAAAUUUAUAAUUUAUAUGAUGAUGCAUGCUAACGCUAAUGAAAACAAAGUACCUUGAGUGAACAACACAUGAGGGCGUCAGGGUGGUGCCAAAGAGACUUGAGAAGAUCGGUUCCAUCAGGCUUAACUAGUUCAACGCCAAGGUAACAUCUAUACGAAUGAGAAAUCCAACGAGCGAGUGUGUGAGCUUCUGGUGAUGCAGGUGGUGGACGCAGGCCGCCACUUAGCUGAUGAGAAGAAGGAGAGAGAGCAAGCGCCACUCGUUGGACCGAUGCGAUCACACUUCUCACAUAUUGUCUAGCCAUUGAAGCUACAUUCUCUUGCAUAUGCAUCUCAAAAGCUAGCUGAAAUGCUAUUGUCAUCACUGACUUUGUGUUUCCUCUGCUUCCACAAGAGUCUCCGGCUGUUCUGCUCCCUACGUCUAGAGCCGAUGCUAGGUCUAGCGUUCGGUUAGGACUCACUCCCUCCUAUAACAAAAUUAUUUGGAUUCAAUUAGUACAUGAUUUGACUGAAGUUGUUGAUUGUGAUUCUGAUAUGGACUGCACGUACUGAUUUGGUAUCUAGUGGAAUGAUGCGGAAUCCUGAAGGGAUGAUUGGGGCAUCAUCAGAGAAUGAGGCAUCAAUUGGUGCAAAGAUGAGCUCUGCGCAAGAUUCAACUGCGUUCUCAUCCACCCCACUGCACAUCUAUAUCAUUAAACCAUAAAUUUUAUGUUAGAAUCAUAAGAAUAGUUAGUUGCAAGAAGAUGAAUCACUGAGAAGCAGAGGAAACUCAAAACUAAUCCCAAGAAUAUGAAGAAGAGAUUUACGUUUCAAUUAUUAUGUUGAAUUUGUAUUUUUUUAAAGAUGUGAAGUUUUUUGAGAAAUAUUUUGCAUCUAAAUACAAACAAACAUAGACACAAAUAUUAACGUUUGAAACAAUUAGGUCUUACUUGUAGAAGGAAGACAUCCGCAGGCAUCAUCAUAUCUUCUUGGUAAUGCCCCAAGCUCUCAAGCUUAAUCACUUCCAUGAACUGCCAUAAACAAAAGGCGGAAAAAGCACAAGUUUAGGUUAUUAUAAUUUUCACAAAUUAAAACAUAUAGUUAUAUUGAAUUGAACCAAAAAAAAAACUAGUUAUAUUGAUUUGAUUUUGAGGAACCCUUAGUCCACUUACCUCUUCAUUCUCUAUAGUGUGAGCUAGAGGAAGAAUGACUUGACCUCCAAAGCUCCCUGGGCGAGGGAUUGGUAAGCUACAAGGCCCUGCUUUGAUGGCUGCAGCCGAAUAUGCAUCGAUGCUAUUAUCUGCCCAUUCUUGCCUAUGUUCCCUCAAGAAUCGCAGAAGAAUCGAGGGUGGAACAUUCUACACAAACAAAAAAAUACCCUUAAUGAUGGAUAAAAAAGGUGGAAAUUGAGAAUCUUAAUUUUGAGAUUCAAUGAGCUUAUUACUUGUAAUAACAUGGAAGCUUUGGCACAUAAAACCGCGCUAGGCAUAGAAGUGAAGCCAUUUGAAAAUGGGAGACUUGAAGUCAUCAUCAUCUUAGUAGGAGAGGAGUUCAUAAGAAGAGUAACAUCAUCGAUACCAUCGCUCUCUAGCAUCGACCAGCCUUCAUCACUAAAGCCAUUGACUGCUUCAUUGAAUCCUCUGAGAGUAUAAGAAACAAUUUAAGUUUUAGAAGACAUGUUUUAAAGUGAUUUUGAAGGUAAAGAGAAGUGUGAGAAGCUUUUAAAUUACUUGCUGAGUCUUUGGCUAAGUGCUCUAAGAGCCGCUGGUCUUCGUCCCCAACCGGAUACGUUAGGCUGUGAAAUCUCUUGAGAUAUUUGUCUCAAGUAGCGUAGGGCCUGUAAGUAGCAUAAAGAAACCACAGGUUCUUACUUACAUAUUGUUUUUUUCCAGAAGAAGGUUGCGAUAAUUUCAAACACAAAGUGGUUUAGGAAUCUUACCGCCAUGGUUGUUCUUUGGGCUAGUAAAGUUGAAGACUCAUAAAGAGAGCGAAGAACUUCUGGUACACUCCAUGGCUACAGAAAAUUUAAACUAAGCUUAUUUAACAUUAUUUUAAAAAAAAACUUACAUAAGAAGAAAUGAAGAUUGAAAUGUGGAAAGAACAAAAACUGAAGUGGAGAAACAGAGGAAACACUUCAGUUUCAGACUCAUGAGUUGGGUUUCUUGUGAAAUAAGAAACAAAUAAAAUAAAAUAAAAUAAAAUAAAAUAAAAUAAAAUAAAAUUACAAGAAUGUAUAAUCGAGUGAAGGCUUUGUACCUCAAGAUCAAAAUGAUCAACAAUGUGGAGAAUAGAUCCACCUCCUUCACAGGGUCUAAUGAGGUAGCCACUUGGUAAUAUCUCUGCUCUAACGAAAUGAGGAGAUGGAGGCAUACUCGGCCCGUUUUGUGUAUUGUUCAACGACCGUUCACAUAUCUGCAUCGAUUAAUUCAAUGUCAUCAAAUGAUCCAAACAUAGAAACAAAAGAGAAUGACAUGAGGAAUAUGGUUUCAUAAGUAUAUACCACAAGACUCCCAUCUUCCAUUACAGACGUGUAACGUAGCAUCCAGAAAUCACGAGCUGGUGCCAAUGUUGUGGGUGCAUACAUCUUUCACAAGAAAGAACGAAAAUAAAAAAGGAGGAAGUUUUAGUUUCGUUCUGAUUCAAUUUCUUAGGUUUCUUGAUCAUCACUCAUCAAUACCUGCAUGUAGAUUAGUUCUAGGGUUCCACCAUUUGCAGUGGAGAGGACGUUAACGAUAUCAAGAGAUCUACAAUCACGCAACCAACAAGGCCGAUCUUUCAGGAUCUCUGCGACCUGAGGGAUAAAAAACAGAAGUGUUAUACACGUUCUUGGUUGAUUGAUGAGGAAGUAAUAGUUAGAAAGAAGUGAGAAUACGUACUCUUGUGGGAUCAAGACCCACGAGGCCACAAGCACGAGCAGCUAUUCCCGUGCAUCCAUGAGAAAUAGCAACGAUUCCAAUGGAAUCCGGACCAGGCUGCAGAUACAUUUGUCAGUACGUAAAGCAAUGAAGGAUGGUUGAAUCAUAGACUAAAAGACAAGCUAGAGACUUAUGUAAAGUACCUUCAUCCCAGGCAUUUGGACCCACUCGACAGCGGUUCCAGUGGCCUUUGAAAUGAACUCUGUUAAAGUUUCAUCCGCAAUGGACAAUAGUCUGAAGAAAAACACAAAAGGUUCAUUGAGAAUUUAUAUAUCAUUUCUUUCAAAAAAAAAACCCAAGAAGCAGGGUCCAUCUUUUAGCAUAAUAUAUAUUUUAAUCUUUUUCCAAAUAAAUAUAUAAUUAGAAUAAAAUUUUAUUAUAUUUCUAAAUUUACAGCCUAUAAUUUCAAAACAAAGUUAACCUCUAUACGUUAAGCUAUUAACUUUUUUUAAAAAUAUCAUUAUUUCUUUAAAUAUACCGUUAAUUAAAAAAUAUUUGAACAUGGUGCAAAGAUAAUUUGAGACUGCACUGCCAAUAAGUAUGAAAAAGGAUUAUUGACUUUAGCUUACCCAGCGUCACGUACAGCCACGAACGUCUUAUGUGUGCUGACGGACACACACGGACAGCCACGGACGUCCUGUGUGUGCUGACGAACACCCAAAGACGUCCUGUGUGUAAUGAACAGACAGCCCACGUGGGCCAAAAUCACCCAAACAGUCCACAGGAAGGGCCAGCGUGCUGAGUCCAAGGACCAGCGUGGUGAUAUGUGUACUGAUGGACAGCCACAGACUUUCUGUGUGUGCUGACGGACACACACAGAGAGCCACGGACGUCCUGUGUGUGCUGACGGACACACACGGACGUUCUUUGUGUACGGAAUAGACAGCCAACGUGGGCCAAAAUCACCCACGGACAGCCAAAAUCACCGAGAAGCCAAAAAUUAAAAAAUGAAUAUUUUUGGAGAACAUCAAAAAUAUGUCAACAAAUAGUUUAGGAUGUCAAGUGUUGAUCAAAAGUUGCUGUAGACAUCCGUUUAGACCACGAAACCCCAAACUUUGUAGCAUGUGAAAGACAUGGUUAGAAGCAAAAGAAAAUCAUGAAAAUUUACCCGAAAAUAGCUUUAACCAUUCUUAUGAAACAUGCAAAACAUCAGAUUCAAAUUCGAAGUAUUUUGUUUCUUACAUUAAAAAUACUCCCGGAACACAACCAAUACAGACUGAAAAAAGUGGUUUGUCUAUAUAAGGGGUAGGCACUCUUCUGAGCCUACCCUCAGUACCCGAAGGGGUAUGUAGUGUUGGACUGCUCGGUCCAACACUAUCGAUGGCUGGGUUGAGGUCGAUGGCCGGAUUGUCCCCAUAUAAUUUAUAUGAUGAUGCAUGCUAACGCUAAUGAAAACAAAGUACCUUGAGUGAACAACACAUGAGGGCGUCAGGGUGGUGCCAAAGAGACUUGAGAAGAUCGGUUCCAUCAGGCUUAAGUAGUUCAACGCCAAGGUAACAUCUAUACGAAUGAGAAAUCCAACGAGCGAGUGUGUGAGCUUCUGGUGAUGCAGGUGGUGGACGCAGGCCGCCACUUAGCUGAUGAGAAGAAGGAGAGAGAGCAAGCGCCACUCGUUGGACCGAUGCGAUCACACUUCUCACAUAUUGUCUAGCCAUUGAAGCUACAUUCUCUUGCAUAUGCAUCUCAAAAGCUAGCUGAAA
Molecule: long non-coding RNA, 4832 nt
Filed under: Brassica napus (rape)
Lineage: Eukaryota; Viridiplantae; Streptophyta; Magnoliopsida; Brassicales; Brassicaceae
Description: long non-coding RNA (BNAP_LNC013729)
Source: RNAcentral